GCUUUCGUGACGCUUGAUGUGCCGCCAUAUUUGUCCACAAAAGUUUUCUUCGAGCUAGUGGUUUCAGCGCUUUUCGUUCAUCAAAAUUUGCAAAUUUCAUCCAGUUGUAAUGGAAACAAUUGCAUUAGAUCAACUCUUCCGGAAUUCGUUUAUUGUGCGCUGAUAGUUCGUCCUCUUCAAAUUUAAUUUAAUAUUUCGGAAAUCGACAGCAUCUGCUGAGUUCGGUCCAUUUUUUGCCUCAGGUUGAAAAAUUCUACAGUUAAGUAGCACAAGAUGUUUUUUGUAAGGAAAACGCCCUGCCAAUAUAACUCCUCGUUAUUCUCA
Molecule: long non-coding RNA, 324 nt
Organism: Armigeres subalbatus
Lineage: Eukaryota; Metazoa; Arthropoda; Insecta; Diptera; Culicidae
Exons: 3
Source: RefSeq, a predicted model, not a curated record